AUUGAACGCUGGCGGCAGGCCUAACACAUGCAAGUCGAACGGUAGCACAGAGAGCUUGCUCUCGGGUGACGAGUGGCGGACGGGUGAGUAAUGUCUGGGAAACUGCCCGAUGGAGGGGGAUAACUACUGGAAACGGUAGCUAAUACCGCAUAACGUCGCAAGACCAAAGUGGGGGACCUUCGGGCCUCACACCAUCGGAUGUGCCCAGAUGGGAUUAGCUAGUAGGUGGGGUAAUGGCUCACCUAGGCGACGAUCCCUAGCUGGUCUGAGAGGAUGACCAGCCACAGUGGAAUUGGGAAACGGUCCAGAGUCCUACGGGAGGCAGCAGUGGGGAAUAUUGCACAAUGGGCGCAAGCCUGAUGGAGCCAUGCCGCGUGUAUGAAGAAGGCCUUCGGGUUGUAAAGUACUUUCAGCGGGGAGGAAGGCGGUGAAGUUAAUAACUUCACCGAUUGACGUUACCCGCAGAAGAAGCACCGGCUAACUCCGUGCCAGCAGCCGCCGCCG
Molecule: ribosomal RNA, 504 nt
Filed under: uncultured bacterium
Lineage: Bacteria
Description: partial 16S ribosomal RNA
Rfam family: Bacterial small subunit ribosomal RNA
Source: RNAcentral